AGUGCAAGACCUGCUGUGGCGAGUAUAGAUGCGGGUGCCAGCCCACGCAGUGACAGCAGCACUCCCAGCACCUCGGGACUGGAGACAGUGGCAGAGGCUGUGCCACUGCAGAAUAAGAACGAUUAUCUUUACUUCAUUCUGCCCUCAUUUGCCCCAUAUGAGGAAAUAUUGGAGCGGAAAGUGCCCAUAAACGGCCGAGUUAGGAGAGCAGUCAUUGACAGGCUCUUUCAAGCCUGUGUGAAGAUAGUGUGGCUGCCCAGUAAGCUUCUUUACCGGACUGCAGUAGAGAGGCUACUGACAAGGUAUCCUCACUUGAAGGAUGACAUUGAG
Dermacentor albipictus is the source of this 330-nucleotide non-coding RNA. The record is from RefSeq and is a predicted model, not a curated record. Lineage: Eukaryota; Metazoa; Arthropoda; Arachnida; Ixodida; Ixodidae.